AAGGAAGCAGCAGGCGCGCAAAUUACCCAACCUCCCGGCACGGGGAGGUAGUGACGAAAAAUAACAAUACGGGACUCUUUUGAGACCCCGUAAUUGGAAUGAGUACACUCUAAAUCCUUUAACAAGUAUCUAUUGAAGGGAAAGUCUGGUGCCAGCAGCUGCGGUAACUCCAGCUUCAAUAGCGUAUAUUAAAGUUGUUGCGGUUAAAAAGCUCGUAGUUGGAUCUCAGUUCGCGACGGGCGGUCCGCCUACCGGUGGUUACUGCCUGUUCGCAACACCAGCCGGUUUCUCUAGAUGAUCUUCACCGGUUGUCUUGGGUGACCGGCAAGUUUACUUUGAAAAAAUUAGAGUGCUCAAAGCAGGCGCGACGCCUGAAUAAUGGUGCAUGGAAUAAUGGAAUAGGACCUCGGUUCUAUUUUGUUGGUUUUCGGAACACGAGGUAAUGAUUAAGAGGGACAGACGGGGGCAUUCGUAUUGCGACGCUAGAGGUGAAAUUCUUGGACCGCCGCACGACGAACUACUGCGAAAGCAUUUGCCAAGAAUGUUUCCAUUAAUCAAGAACGAAAGUUAGAGGUUCGAAGGCGAUCAGAUACCGCCCUAGUUCUAACCAUAAACGAUGCCAGCUAGCGAUCCGGCUGUGUUCCUCAAAUGACACGCCGGGCAGCUUCCGGGAACCAAAGCUUUGGGUUCKGGGGAAUAU
This 700-nucleotide ribosomal RNA is filed under the name Dolichognatha sp. ORB016. RNAcentral's name for it is "SSU rRNA". It matches the Rfam family "Eukaryotic small subunit ribosomal RNA", at positions 420 to 1137 of the family's 1831-position model. Lineage: Eukaryota; Metazoa; Arthropoda; Arachnida; Araneae; Tetragnathidae. The record is from RNAcentral.